Molecule: ribosomal RNA, 497 nt
Filed under: uncultured bacterium
Lineage: Bacteria
Description: partial 16S ribosomal RNA
Rfam family: Bacterial small subunit ribosomal RNA
Source: RNAcentral
GACGAACGCUGGCGGCGUGCCUAAUACAUGCAAGUAGAACGCUGAAGAGAGGAGCUUGCUCUUCUUGGAUGAGUUGCGAACGGGUGAGUAACGCGUAGGUAACCUGCCUUGUAGCGGGGGAUAACUAUUGGAAACGAUAGCUAAUACCGCAUAACAAUGGAGGACACAUUUCAUUUAUUUGAAGGGGCCAUUUGCUCCCCUCCAAGAUGGACCUGCGUUGUAUUAGCUAGUAGGUGAGGUAAUGGCUCACCUAGGCGACGAUACAUAGCCGACCUGAGAGGGUGAUCGGCCACACUGGGACUGAGACACGGCCCAGACUCCUACGGGAGGCAGCAGUAGGGAAUCUUCGGCAAUGGGGGCAACCCUGACCGAGCAACGCCGCGUGAGUGAAGAAGGUUUUCGGAUCGUAAAGCUCUGUUGUAAGUCAAGAACGGGUGUGAGAGUGGAAAGUUCACACUGUGACGGUAGCUUACCAGAAAGGGACGGCUAACUACGUG